AUGGUGGCACAAAAUCGGAAGCCCCGACUGUUUACUAAAAACACAACUAUCUGCAAUUAUGAAAAUAAUAGUAUAGGUAGUGAGAUUUGCCCAAUGCCAUAUCAAUAAGUAAUAAUAAUGGGUAACUGUUUCUUUACAAAAAAUUGGUUAAUAGCGGUCUUAACUAUGAGGAUCCUAAGGUAGCAAAAUAAAUUGGCCAUUAAAUGUGGUCCGGUAUCAAUAAUUUAACGAUGGCUUCACUGUCUCUACAACUUGCUCAGUG
RNAcentral lists this ribosomal RNA (262 nucleotides) under Boletoid fungal sp. 1. RNAcentral describes it as "partial large subunit ribosomal RNA". It matches the Rfam family "Bacterial large subunit ribosomal RNA", at positions 1773 to 2038 of the family's 2925-position model. The record is from RNAcentral. Lineage: Eukaryota; Fungi; Basidiomycota; Agaricomycetes; Boletales; Boletaceae.